GGAAUCUUGGGCAAUGGGGGAAACCCUGACCCAGCAACGCCGCGUGAGGGAUGAAGGCCUUCGGGUCGUAAACCUCUGUCGGGAGGGAAGAACCGUCUCGAGUCGAACAGGCUCGGGGCCUGCUGGUACCUCCAAAGGAAGCACCGGCUAACUCCGUGCCAGCAGCCGCGGUAAUACGGAGGGUGCAAGCGUUGUUCGGAAUCAUUGGGCGUAAAGCGAGUGUAGGCGGCUUGGCAAGUCGGGUGUGAAAGCCCGGGGCUCAACCCCGGAAUUGCAUUCGAAACUGCCUCGCUAGAGUCCCGGAGAGGAAGGCAGAAUUCCCGGUGUAGAGGUGAAAUUCGUAGAUAUCGGGAGGAAUACCAGUGGCGAAGGCGGCCUUCUGGACGGCGACUGACGCUGAGACGCGAAAGCGUGGGGAGCAAAC
RNAcentral lists this ribosomal RNA (424 nucleotides) under uncultured bacterium. Its description in RNAcentral is "bacterial SSU rRNA". It matches the Rfam family "Bacterial small subunit ribosomal RNA", at positions 358 to 773 of the family's 1533-position model. The record is from RNAcentral.